Heterocephalus glaber (naked mole-rat) is the source of this 5485-nucleotide non-coding RNA. The record is from RefSeq and is a predicted model, not a curated record. NCBI's taxonomy places the organism in Eukaryota, Metazoa, Chordata, Mammalia, Rodentia, Bathyergidae.
CCUAACGAGUGCAGCAAAGCUCUCUGCUUUCCAGGAGGCCCCUCCUCCAGGAAGCCACUGGCCCUGCCUUCCUAGGAGGCUUGGGGAAGUCACCACCUGCUCCUCCUGCAUCCUGUGCCCUGCUGCCCUUCUCCCAGGUUCUGUGUCCCCAGAUCCCCUGGCUGGAGGAGCAGGGUGCUGCAGCUGGGCUGGGGGUGUGGGAUGCACAAGCUCCUGCUUUUCAAGCCCCUGGCUCACACCUCCAUCCCUGCUCAGCGAGCUCAGUUCUGCCAGUGUAGCACGGACCCCAGCCUCCCGCCACCACGGGGCCUCUGAGGCCAGUGUAUCUGGGCACCGCCUGGCCCCUGAGAUGUGGAAGCAGCGGCUGAAAUAUAUAAAGCCACAGCACUCUUAUCAUGUAUAAAAGGCGGGCCACUGUCACAUCAGGUAGCAUCAGAUAUCUGGUAGCUGCCCAUGUUUUCCUGGUGUCGCAUGGAUGCUGAGUUAUUUUUUAUGGCUCACGACUUAUGUGAGUCAGAAAGCAAAAAUAUGACCCACAUAUCAGGAUUGGUUUAUGCAUCUUUAGGUUCCUUUGUUGGAAUGUCAUUUAGAAUAGUUCCUCUCUUGAUGGUUGGAUUACUAACACGAGGCCACACAUCUCUGCGGUCCCCCUGAACAGCAGCCAUCCAGUCUGCAGACCUGGCUGCAGGCGGGAUCCUCUGCCCACCUCAUCCUAAUUCACCUGCAGCGUCACUUGGACUGUUUUUUCAGUACUGGUGCUUGAACCCAGGGCCUUUGCCCUGAGCUACAUCCCCAGUCCUUUUAAAUUUCAAAACAGGGUCUCACUAAGUUGCUAAAUGGUUAAGCACCCCAGGCUGUUCCAUGUUUCUCCAGUGCCUGUGUAGCCUUGGGUCAACAUUAAAUCACCCUGCAAUGUCCCUUGGAGAGAAAAAUUUUCCGGAAGCCUUUCUUUCCCUUUUUAACCCAGUCUCUCCUUCACUGGCCAAAUCUGAGCUUGCCCGGUCUCUCUUUGCUCAGUAACAGUUUGCCCACCGCCUCUUUGUCUUCAGGAAACUGGGGUCACCAGCUUUGCACCCUGAAAGUCCUGCUGUGCCCUGGCCACCCCCACCCGGAGGUCCCCCCCAGGCCCCCAUCUCAGACAUUUCUGCCCAUACCUCCUCUUCCUCCUGGGGUGCUGCUGUGCAUCCCUUCCUUCAUCGGGUGUUCAGUCAACACUUAGGUGAUCGUCUGUCAGUGCCAGCUUGAGGUAUUGGAAGUUUUGCCCCUUUUAAACACACAGCUAUGAGAUCUUACAGACGUGUAACGUACAGAAUAUUUCUUCCCACCCUUUGCAGUCACCCCUCCUCCCUGCGCCCACUCGCAUCUGUUUUCAGUCCCCCCACUUUUGCCUUUCCCAGGAGGUCCUAGGAAGGGAGAGCCAGGUGGCUUUCUGGAGGAGGGGCCUCCUGCAAAGCAGUCCUGAGUGGGAUCUUGCAGUUUGUAGCCUUUGGGCUCUGGCUUCUGUCACUUAGCAUAAAUGCUUCUGUGAGGCAUCUGAGGUGCCGUGUGUAUUAGGAGUCCAUUCCUCUGUAGGGCUGGGUUGCAUUGUGCUCCAUAGAUGGAUUGUAAUUCACUUAUCUCUCCACCACUCGAUGAACGUUUGGGUUAUUUCUGAUUUGGGGCAAUUCUGAAUAAGGCCUCUGUAAACAUUACAUUUCUGUGCAAACAUAAAUUUCCAUUUCUCUGGGGCUGAUUCCUGCAAGUAGGGUUGCUGGGUCACAUGGAAGUUUAUGUUUAGCUUUACAGGAAGCUGCCAAACCAUGAUUCAGAAGGGCUGUCCAUUUCCAAAGCAGUAAAGAGCCCUAAUGUUUGAACGUUCACUGGAGCAUCUGUAAAAGCACCAGGGAGAAUCCUGUUCCUCACAGGAAGCACAGCUUCUUGGGCAAGUGGAAGUUCUUGUUUCUCUGGUGCAGAUGGCCAGAGUGGGUUUCUGGCUUGGAUGUUCAGUGGGUGUAAGAAAAUGCCCACACUCUGGGAGGCUGAGGCAGGAAGGAUUGAAGGUUGGGCAAUUUAAUGGCAGACUUUGUCUUAAAAAAAAGGGAGAGGGGCUGGGGUGUAGCUCAGUGAGAAGGCCCUGAGUUCAAUCUCAAGUACAGAAAGAAAGAAGGAAAGGAAGGAAGGAAGCCAAAUCGGUCUCCAAAGUGACUGCACCAUUUUGUAUUCUCAGCUGUGAUGGAUCAGUUUUACUUGUUCUACAUCUUUACCAGGUACCAACUCAACUCUUCCCUUCUCCUUUCUCAUUUCUUAGGUUCCUUCCUUCUUUCCCUCCCUCCCUCUCCUCCUCCCUUUCCCCCUUUCUUCCUCUCUCUCCCCCUUUUCCUUCUUUGAAGCACCAAGGAUCAGAUUGAGGGCAUCAUACAUCCUAGGCAAGCACUCUGCCACUAAGCUGCAUCCCCGGCCUGGUUCUGACAUUUUCUAACAUAGAAGGAGUGGUCCAAUGCCUCCCCAUCCUAAUCCCCUGGCUUCAGCGAAGGCCACCUCCUGUCUUAUCUGACCUCAUCCCCAGCCCCCAUAACUAAAUUAUCUCUGAAGCAAGUCCCAGACAGCCUGUGAUUUCAUUCAUAUUCAACAUUGUACCUAAAAGAUAAGAAUUCUUUUUUAUAAAGCCACAGCCCUCUUAUCAUGUAUAGAAGGUGGGCCACUGUCACAUCAGGUAGCAUCAGAUAUCUGGCAGCUGCCCACAUUUCCCUGGGUGUCGCAUGGAUGCCAAGUUAUUUUUUUAUGGCUCGUGACUUACAUGAGUCAGGAAGCAAAUAUGACCCGCAUAUCAGGAUUGGUUUAUGCAUCUUUAGGUUCCUUUGUUGGAAAGUCAUUUAGAAUAGUUCCUCUCUUGGUGGUUGGACUACUAACACGUUGGGUAGAUUGACUUGCUCCAUUUGUCUUUAGGGUUUUCGGAAUUUCUGUAAAAUUUUAUUGAUGGUUUCAAAGUCUGUCCUACAAAAUAAAGUAUAUGGAGGAAGGUUGGACUUUUGUGUCCACCUAUAACUACAAUUUAAACCAAUCAUGCUUUAUCCGUAUGUUGAUUUAAUUCAUUAUGUAUUACGAACAUGUACUAACAAUAACCUGUCUGUCUGUCUGUCUGUCUGUCUCCCUCCCUCCAGGCUCUGGAGUCAGAGGCUGGAUGCCCUCUGCCAGCUGUGGUCCCUUGCAUUCCCCUGGCUGCCUGGCAGCAUCCUCUGCCACCUUCCCAUCAGCGAGGGCUGCCAGACUCUUGGAUUUCUGCCAAUCUGAUAGAUUCCUCGAAGACAGUAUGUGACGCCUGCUUCUUUUCCUGACUUAAAAGAAUGCCUGCUUAUUGAGGAGGAUGUGGGAACUACUGAGAAGUACAAAGAAAACAGAAAUCACCUGUCAGCUCAUUACUCAGCGUAAAGCACCCUAGACACCUGGGUGUAUUGUACCCCAACUUUCUUUCGUUACAUAUUGUAUUGUUCACACACACAUGUAUGUGUGCACACAUGUGUGUGCAUACACACACACUUUCCCAUAACAUUAGAGCCUAGAGACUUUCUCAUGGCAUUAAACUUCUGCACAUCUUAAUUUAGAAUAAAUCCCACAAAUGGGAUGCACCGUAGCCUUACCCUACCACUCAACUUCUCUGUGCCUCAGUUUCCUCCUUUGUAAAAUGGGGAUGAUGAUGUUCUUUCCUCCUAAAGGUCCUCAUCAGAGCUCAUUGUGACCGGCAUAAGUGUGGUAGCCCUUGGACCAAGGAAUGAGUCUACCAGAAGUGAUCAGGUGAAUUUGAAAAAGACCACACAGAAUUUCAAGAAAUGACAAAUACAAGUGAAAUCCUAAAAAGUCAUGACAGAGCUGGGAGACUGAAGCCCAGGCUAGAAAGGGAGCUCCAGAAGCCAGAACAUGCGAAGGACAUUGUGCAUAGAAGAGAGCACAAGAAAGCAAUGCCAUAACUUUAUGACCCUCAGGGUCUUCUCCCAGUGUGCAUGGUUGGAUCUGUCCCAAAACAGAAUGUGAAGGGUUUGAGACCUGAACUGUGGGGUGGACCGUCUCCAAGGUCCCAGUCUGGCCACUUGUCCUGGACUCGUGAAACCCAGCCAGAUGGCACUGUGGAAAUCUGUGAAACUGAGCUGAUACUGGAACCAGAGCCCAUAGAAAGUGAAUUGUAGACUGGACCUCGCCUAGGUCUAUUGUCUGUUAAAAUCAAUCAAGAGAUUAAUAAGUCAAUAUUUUCCUUGGGGUUUAAAUAAGACCUACAGUCACCAUGAGUUCAAGGCCAGCCUGGGCUACAUAUCGAGACCCUGUUUUAAAAAAAAACCCAGAACAAAUAAGCAUACAGAAGAACCAAAAUAUAAUUAUAGAAAUAGAAAUAAAAGAACAAAAGAGUUGGAAGGGUUCAAGACCAGAAUGGAAGAGAUGACAGUAGAAGGAUAGAUCUACAGGAAUUAUCCAAUCUGAACCACAGAGAGAAAAAGAUUGAAAAAACUUUGAGCAGAGUCUCAGGAAACUAUGGAACAAUACCAAAAUGACAAAUACUCCUGUCAUCAGAGUCCUAGAAGGUGUGGACAAAGCACAGUUCAAGAAAUAAGAAGGGAACAAGAAUGGCUGGAAACUUCUCAAAAUUACAGGCUCAAGAAACUCCUUAAAGCUGGAGUUUUAGCUCAGUGGUUUCGCCACCUGCCUUGCAAGCAAGGACCCAAGUUCGAUCCCCAGCACCAAAAAAAAAAAAAAAAAGAAAAAGAAAAAGAAAAAGAAACUCCUUAAACUUCAAACAGUUUAAGUUCAAAGAUAUCCACUUCUAGGCACAUGAUAAUCCAACUUCCUUAGAGACAAAGAUAUCUCCAAAGUGGUCAGAGAAAAAUAGAACACUUGUUUGUCAGUAUCUCACCAGAAACCAGGGAGGCUAACAGGAAGUGAAACAGUAUUUAUGAAGUGCUAGAAGAAAAGGACCACCAACCUGCAGUUCUAUACCCAGUGAAAAUAUCCUUUAGGAAAGGGAAUGAAAUAAAGGUAUCCUGACAUGAAGGAAAGCUUGGAGACUUUGUCACCAGCACACCAGCACACCUUUGUUUCUAAAACAAGUGGUAGAGGAAGUUCCUCCCAUGGAAGAGAGAUGACAUUAGAUCGAAAUGUGGAAUGACAGGAAUGAAGUGUGAAGGACAGAAAUGAUAAAUGUCUGAGUAAAUGUUCUGUUUCUUGUAUCUAAAAUAUGACUGAUGGUUGAAAACAAAAAUUCUGACAUUGUUUGAUGAGGUUUUAAAUGCAGACUGAAUGUACAGUAUAAAGAAAGGAGGACAGAUGGACUUCAGUGAUGAGAAGUAUUCCAUAUACCACUGAAAUAGUAUUUAUCCUAAGUAUUUAUACUAACCGUGGAAAGUUAAGAAUGUAUGUGAAAAGCCCAGAACAACCACCAAAAUAUUUUACAAACAGAUGUAGUAAAGAAUACAAUCAACAAAAUGUAUAAAUUAGACCAUAGAUAUGUAUGAUGAAUAAA